GGGCCUAUAGCUCAGGUGGUUAGAGCGCACGCCUGAUAAGCGUGAGGGCCGUGGGUUCGAAUCCCAGCUAGGCCCACCA
This 79-nucleotide transfer RNA is filed under the name Clostridioides difficile. Its description in RNAcentral is "tRNA-Ile". It matches the Rfam family "tRNA". From Rfam's summary of the family: Transfer RNA (tRNA) molecules are approximately 80 nucleotides in length. Their secondary structure includes four short double-helical elements and three loops (D, anti-codon, and T loops). The record is from RNAcentral. Lineage: Bacteria; Bacillati; Bacillota; Clostridia; Peptostreptococcales; Peptostreptococcaceae.